UGCUCCUACGGGACGCAGCAGUGGGGAAUAUUGCGCAAUGGGGGAAACCCUGAUGCAGCGAUGCCGCGUGGAGGAAGAAGGUUUUCGGAUUGUAAACUCCUUUUAUCAGGGACGAUAAUGACGGUACCUGAAGAAAAAGCUCCGGCUAACUACGUGCCAGCAGCCGCGGCAAUACGUAGGGCGCGAGCGUUGUCCGGACUUACUGGGUGUAAAGGGAGCGUAGGCGGGGCGGCAAGUCAGAUGUGGAAACUGAGGGCUCAACCUUCAGACUGCCU
Molecule: ribosomal RNA, 275 nt
Filed under: uncultured bacterium
Lineage: Bacteria
Description: partial 16S ribosomal RNA
Rfam family: Bacterial small subunit ribosomal RNA
Source: RNAcentral